AACAAGGUGGUGAAAAGAGGAGGACUUGGUUUGAAUUUGCCAUUUUCAGUGGAAAACAAGUGGUGGUUACUUGUUAUGAUGACUAUGUACUUUGGACCUGGAUUUGCUGCACCUUUUUUUUUUUUUAUAGUAAGACACCAACUGCUU
Long non-coding RNA from Herpailurus yagouaroundi (jaguarundi), 147 nucleotides. RefSeq lists it as uncharacterized. The transcript has 2 exons. The record is from RefSeq and is a predicted model, not a curated record. Lineage: Eukaryota; Metazoa; Chordata; Mammalia; Carnivora; Felidae.